GUUGAACCAUAAAUCUCAUAUAAUGGCAAAACAAUUUGACUAAUCACAGUGGACAAGACCAUUAAGGGGUCCAAUUUACUGACAUGGAUGAUUUGGUCUCUUUGUAAUAUACUUCCAUUUGAGAUUUUUAGAUGUGAACACUUGUGCAAAAUGGUGUUGAGAUCCAUUGCUCAGGCAGCAAGUCUGAUGAACUAGCAAGUCUGAAAGCAAUUGCUGCAAAACCAACCCAACUGGGAAUUAAUUAAUUAGUUAUUCCCAUAAUCUCUAAGCUUCAAUAGAUUAACAACUAUGGUUCUGUUUAGAACGCAGCAUUUUUUGAACAAAGUGCAAUAUUCUGAAUCAUCUUCCUAUCAAGUUGUAUAUAUCAAUUGACCUUGACUAUAUGGUUCAGGAGUAAAGAGAAGCUUAGAACAUAAUCAAUGGGAGAUGCACAUAUUCGUGCCUGAAUAUAAAAAUUGCAAUUGACGAGGACUUCAGAUUAGCCUACUUAGUUCUAUAAUACAGGACUUGGCUACCUAAUAUCAUCAAGAGUUCCAUAUAAAUUUGUAGUAAUGGUACAUAUAUAGAAUCGUACAGGAGCUAGAGAAGCAAAAAAAGAGAGAUGGAAUCUCAACAUUGCAGCCACAAACAUUUCUUGAUACCUCAUUACUUUGAUGAUGACGAUGAUGAAGAAAUGAAUUGCAUGGCCUGUGAGAGAGUUACUAAUCCUAGUGAACCAUCUCAUAUUCUUACGAAUAUUUCCUGCAUGACCAAUGUCUUAACUUGCUUCGCUUGCUUCACCAGCCACCUCACAAUUCUCACCCACUCAUUCUCUUUCUGUUGUGAAAAAUCACACCGACACAAAUCACAGUGGACAAGACCAUAGUGG
RNAcentral lists this unclassified non-coding RNA (868 nucleotides) under Hevea brasiliensis (rubber tree). Lineage: Eukaryota; Viridiplantae; Streptophyta; Magnoliopsida; Malpighiales; Euphorbiaceae. The record is from RNAcentral.